CGGUGAGAAGGUGGAAGGGGCAGUGAUAUUUCAGAGGGGAGAAAGCAACUGUUUCUCUUGGCCUGGGGCAAGGCUCAUCAGGACUGUGGCGACAGCGCCUGCCCAGCAAGAACUGGGGUAUUUUGGGGAAAGUUUGGUCGGGAGUUUUUGCUGAUAUUAACUUUUUGUGUCUUUCUUUUUAUGUGGAAAUUGUUCAGUUGGGUUAUGUGGCUUUCAAUGAGUUUUAUUCAUUUUUAUGACUACUUUGCUAUAUUUGCAUUUAUGUAAGUCUUUUCAUAUUGUAAGCUGCCUUGAGCAUUGUUUUAACUGUGGGAAGAUGGCAUACCCAAAAAGUAAAGAAAAGAAGGGAUGGCGAAGAUAAGCUUUUCCAAGGGUGUAGGAAGGGGAGGGCGGGGGGCGGGCCACCCCAGGGGUCAUCCUGGGGGGGGUGACAAAAUCCCCCCGGGCAUGAUCGCCCCGCCCCCAGGUGCACGGCAUGUGCGCUGCUCCGGGUGCUCCAGCGCUGAGCUUUGCAAAAGACGACUCCUGGCUGGUAAUUCAGCAAUAUUUUCCCUUGAGACGACUCAGUGGCCCAGCUGACUACCAUAGCUGGGAUCAGCGAGGGCUAGUGACAGCCCUAAGGGAUGCGGGUGGUUGUGGUCUAAACCACUGAGCCUCUUGGGCUUGCCGAUCGGAAGGUUGGUGGUUCGAAUCCCCACGAUGGGGAGAGCUCCCAUUACUCUGUCCCAGCUUCUGCCAGCCUAGCAGUUCAAAAACACACCGGUGCAAGUAGAUAAAUAGGUACCACUGUGGCAGGAAGGUAAAUGGUGUUUCCGUGUGCUCUAGUUUCCAUCACAGUGUUCCAUAGCACCAGAAGCGGUUUAGUACUGCUGGCCACAUGACCCUGAAAGCUGUCUGUGGACAAACGCCAGUUCCCCCGGCCUGAAAGCAAGAAGAGUGCCACAACUCCAUAGUCAUUGUUGGGAUCCAGGGAUCCUUUACUUUUUGAACCUUUUUUACCUUUAGUGACAAUCCUGUGGCCCAUAUCUGUGGGUCAUCACAGGACAUGUUUGCUUCACAGGUGUUGUUUGAUGUUUUUGGGUGUGGCAGCCAGUGACAUGAAUGAUGUGGGCUGAUCGUGGGGGAGGGGGGAAAGGGGGCACUGACCACCUAUUUUAGCAAGCAUUUCAACCAUGUGGCCUCUGAUUCUAAGGAUGGUGGAUCCAUCUGUUUUUAGCUCUCCCAGUUUCUCAUUUCCCCAGUGUUAAGUUCAGUCCUCUACAUUUCCGCAUCAUCUGUGGGCUGCUGCUGCUGUUGUUUAGUCGUUUAGUCGUGUCCGACUCUUCGUGACCCCCUGGACCAGAGCACGCCAGGCACUCCUGUCCUCCACUGCCUCCCACAGUUUGGUCAAACUCAUGCCUGUAGCUUCGAGAACACUGUCCAGCCAUCUCGUCCUCCGUCGUCCCCUUCUCCUUGUGCCCUCUAUCUUUCCCAACAUCAGGGUCUUUUCCAGAGAGUCUUCUCUUCUCAUGAGGUGGCCAAAGUCUUGGAGCCUCAGCUUCAGGACCUGUCCUUCCAGUGAGCACUCAGGGCUGAUUUCCUUCAGAAUGGAGAGGUUUGAUCUUCUUGCAGUCCAUGGGACUCUCAAGAGUCUCCUCCAGGACCAGAAUUCAAAAGCAUCCAUUCUUCGGCGAUCAGCCUUCUUUAUGGUCCAGCUCUCACUUCCAUACAUCACUACUGGGAAAACCAGAGCUUUAACUAUACUGUGGGCUGCUAGUCCUCAUGAAAAUGUACACAUGUAUUUAAAUUGUAUACCACCCUAUAACCGCAGGUCUCAGGGUAGUCGCAACAUAAAAUCACAAUAUAAAAACACAAAAUACAUUUUAAAAAAACAAAACACUAGCAUUUUAGUGCAGAUUUCUAGCAGACACAUUUUGGUAUGCAAUUUCCCCUAAUAUUUUGGUAUGUUACUUUUUCACUAGCAUAUGCAUUUUUUACCACACACUUGAUUUAUUUUUAUUAUUCAUAGUUAUAUCCCACCUUUCACACCCAAGGAACUCAAAGUGUCGUUCUUCUGCCUCUCUCCAUAUUUAUCCUCACACCAGCCCUGUGGGGUAGGCUAGGCUGAAAGAAGACCACCCAGUGGGCUUCAUAGCUGAGUGGGAUUUGAAUCCUGUUCGCCCAGUUCCUAGUCCAGCACUCUAACCACUGCACCACAGUUCCCCAAGUAUAUGCAUUUUUGUGCACAUUACUCAGCUACAGGACUGUGCUGCAAAAUUCAGAAAAGGGCGGAUUUCAAAGGGCGUCUGUCUUUCAGUUUGCAUUUUAUUUCAGGAAGGGUGAAUGAGGCAGGUUGAUCUUUAAAUGUGAACUGACUUGAAUUUAUCCCCGCAUUCCCACCUCUUGAUUCCAGUUGCUGGAAACCACCAGAGGGGAGAGUUGUGUUCGAAUCCUGCUUGCGGGUUUCGCUUUGGGGCAAGUGGUCGGUCAGUUUGAGAAGAGGAUGUUGGGCUCAGUGGGCCACUGGCCUGAUUCAGCAGCCAGGCUCUCCUGACGAGUCCCUUCCAUGUCUCUGUUUUUACAAUUCUCAGUUCCUCAUCUGUAAAAUAGGAAACUUAAUGAAACUUGUCAAGGAGUUGCGUUCUGAGGGUGUCGGAGAGGAGGUUGGCAAAUCGCUUUUGUGCAGGCUGAAAAUUCUGCGGAAGCAACACAUGAUUAAUGGUGAUGAUGAAAGUAGUUACAGAAGUUUGAAAACAAAGAAUUAAGCUUCCUUCUUUCUUUCUAUUUUGCCUCUCAGUGGGUGCCAGAGUCAAGAUGCUGGCAAAUUGCCUUCCCAGGUUUCUGGCAUCAUUUAGAGAAAAGGUUAAAAAGGCAUUCAAGGAUUUCAUACUCCCUGUGAAACUGCAAACCUGAAAGGGGGGGGCAGCAAAUAUAUGGGGACCAUCAGGGCCAACCCAAGACAGUUGGGCACCGGAGGUGAACCGCAAAAUGUCUCUCCCUGCCAGGGAAUCGUAGAAUUGGAAGGGACCCUGAGGGUUAUCUAGGCCACCCCCCUGCAAUGCAGGAAUCUCAGCUAAAGAACCCAGGACAGAUGGCCAUGCAACCUCUGCUUAACAACCUCCAAGGAAGGAGAGUCCAUCACCUCCCGAGGGAAUCUGUCCCACUGUCAAACAGCUUUUUAAAUGCUUAAUGUUUAUUAUGUUUUUAUAUACAGUCAUACCUUGGAAGUCAAACGGAAUUUAUUCCGGAAGUCUGUUCGACUUCCAAAACCUUUGGAAACCAAAGCACAGCUUCUGAUUGGCUGCAUGAAGCUCCUGCAGCCAAUCGGAAGCUGCAGAAGUCCCACCAGACAUUCAGUUACUUCCAGGUUUCAAUUGUUUGAGAGUCGAUUUGUUCGGGAGCCACAGCAUUCGAGAUCCAAGGUACGACUGUACAGUGGCAUCUCUAGUUGCGAACGGGAUCCGUUCCGGAGGUCCAUUCGCAACGUGAAAAGCCCGCAACCUGAAGCGAUGUAUCUGCACAGGUGCGCGCCGCGAUUUGGUGCUUGUGCACAUGCGCGAAGCACGAUUUGGCGCUACUGCACAUGUGUGAGCGGUGAAAACCGGAAGUAACCCUUUCCCUUACUUCCGGGUCGCCGCAGGACGCAACCUGAAAAAACAUAACAGGAAGCAAACGUAACAUGAGGUAUGACUGUAUGUUGUACAACCCAGUCAGAUGGGCAGAGUAUUAAGAACAACAACAACAACUGAAUAGGCUGUCCCUAUUUUAAUUGUAGAAACGUUUGAGGGUAUGCACUUUUGAGAGCUGUUGGGAACCUUGACGAUCGGGCUGACAGCUUGCUGCCGCUGCUUUCCUGCUGCGGAAUAACAUUUCCAGUGCUAACCGACGGCUUCGCUCACUUGCAAGUGCCUUUUAAAAAAGGUGCCGGCAGCAGGGAACCUUUCUGGUAGUGAUCAGCGCUGAAUUUUAGUGGCAUUUUGCCGUGGCCUUUCCGUGACCCCGAACACGUGGCUCUCCGUGUACCCGGCUCACAGACAAGCUCUUGCACGGAGGCAGCAUCUAAAUCUGAUGUUUGAGGGAUGGAGAGAGCGAUCCGUCAGGUGAGAAGAGCUUCCCCCCUCUGUCUGCAGGGGAAGGGGCUUUCCUCCCUGGAGUGGGGGGCUCCUGCAUGGAUUGAAUGCGCACAAUCCCACAUUAUGGAUCUGUUGCAUAGAUCCAUAAUGUGGGGAGACUUGUGCAUUGUGCAUCAUCAAUCCAUGCAGGAGCCUCCCCACAUUAUGGAUCUUUUUAAAUAUCUAUAUAUACAUUUUUAUUGAUUUUUUAACAUAUCAGUUCCAACAGUCAUACAACUUAUCUUCACAUCUUAUACAAUAUUUUUGACUUCCGUCAACACCUCUGAUGAUUUUCCAUUCUUUAUCACUUAUUCUGCAUUACUUAAUUUCCUAUUACAUUUCAUUGUCCUUAACUAAUAAUUCUCUUCAUAGUCUUUCUUGCAGUAUUUCAAAUAAUCCACCUUACAAAACUUUUUGCAAUGCUGCUAGCGUAAUCUGUUCGUCACAAUUACUUUUCAGAUGAUUCAUAUAUUUACUCCAGUCUUCUAAGAAUCUCUGAUUCCGCAGGUCUCAAAUCCUUCCUGUCAAUUUAUCCAGUUCUGCAUAGUCCAUCAACUUCACCCUCCGUUCUUCUUUUGUCGGCAGUUCGUCUUGCUUCCAUUUUUGUGCCAUUAAUGUUCCCCACAUUGUGGAUCUGUUGCAACAUGCAAUACACUUGCUCAAGGAAAGGUUGCAGCAUUCGAGACUUCUCAGGUUAGAGAAAAGGCGAGUAACAGGCCACAUGAUAGAAGGGAAUAAAAUGUGUGGCCUAGAGAGAGAGGCUGGAGAGAAGUUUCUCUCGCAGCAGUAGAACUCAUGAACAUCCCGUGCACCUGCAUUUUGGAAGACUCAGGGCAGAUAAAAGAAAGCAAAUGGUUAAACUAUGGAACUCCCUGCCACAGGAGGAAGUAAUUGACACUGACCCCUGAUCGGCGGCACCCUCCGGGACGCACGCCACGCCCUCUGGGACGAGCGCCGCUCCGGGUACUGGAGCAGGUUGCUUCGCCUCUGAAGAGGCCGCAAUGUUUCUGAACACCAGUUGCUGGAAACCACAGGAGGGGAGAGGGUCUUGUGUUUGAAUCCUGCUUGCCGUUUUCUCGCAGGCAUUUGGUUGGCCCCUGUGAGAUGCUUAAAAUGCCACCGACUGCUUAAGGACAUUUUAAGCCACAUUAGACACUUGGAACAGGGAGGCAAUAGCAGAACAACCCCGGACUUCCCCAAGAGUUUGUUCCAGAUGAGUCCAGCCCCACUCUCUAGGCACUGCCCCAGGGGUCCUUUUGUAGCUGGGUGUGUGAGGGCCUGGCCCAGUUGGAAAAGGCCUUGGAAGGGAGCAGGCCCUGCAGUCCUCACCACAGCCGAUGGUACGCAGAUAUUGUUGCAUGCUUCGCCAUUUCUCCACGCGAUAGGAAUUUGCAAGGGUGGCGUUAGGUUCCCUUUGGCUGAGAGGACACAGAAGGCUUUUGAGCACAAGAAGAGCCUUUGCUAGAUCAGGCCAAUGGCCCAUCGAGUCCAGCAUCCUGUUCUCACAGUGGCUCGACCAGAUGACUCAGGGGGGGAACCUGCAAGCAGAAUUCGAACCCAAGAGCAACUCUUCUUCUGAAUACCAGUUGCUGGAAACCACAGGAGGGGAGAGUUGCUCUUGUUGUUCGAAUCCUGCUUGCGGUUUUCUCACAGGCAUUUGGUCAGCCACUGUGAGGACAGGAUGCUGGACUAGGUAGGCCAUUGGCCUGAUCCAGCGAGCUCUUCCUAUGUUCUUAAAAGAGGCACAUCAUUGGAGCUUGCCUUUGAAGACACGUGCUGAAAUGAAAGCAAUCUGUCCCUACCCCCACCGCCCACCCCCAAACUAAUAGAGAAGCGGCUCGCUCCCUGCCAUACUGUAAAUUUGUAGUGGAUGCAAAACACUGUCUGUUUUCUCCUGUCAAACCUUGAAGGGUGUGAAUGAUGGAGCUGUCGAGGAGGAAGGUGUGAUCUCGGUUUGGAAUGACAGAAGGCAUGAUGUUGAGGAAUGAAAGUGGGCCAGAGAACGCCAUAUUAGCGCACUGGUGCAUGCUGUCAUUCAGAGCCAGUGGCCCUACCACAGGAUGCAGAGAGGAGAACCAAGAUUCUUGCAGAGAGCUAGAAGUGUAGAUGACUUUCACUGA
Non-coding RNA from Podarcis lilfordi (Lilford's wall lizard), 6211 nucleotides. Lineage: Eukaryota; Metazoa; Chordata; Lepidosauria; Squamata; Lacertidae. The record is from the annotation of a GenBank genome assembly.